CCACAACGUUGAUAGGUGGGGUGUGUAAGCGUAGCGAUACGUUGAGCUAACCCAUACUAAUUACCCGUGAGGCUUAACCAU
Molecule: ribosomal RNA, 81 nt
Filed under: Aeromonas caviae
Lineage: Bacteria; Pseudomonadati; Pseudomonadota; Gammaproteobacteria; Aeromonadales; Aeromonadaceae
Also listed under: 1 other name
Description: partial 23S ribosomal RNA
Rfam family: Bacterial large subunit ribosomal RNA
Source: RNAcentral